UGCAACUCGCCUACACGAAGCUGGAAUCGCUAGUAAUCGCGGAUCAGCACGCCGCGGUGAAUACGUUCCCGGGCCUUGUACGCACCGCCCGUCACACCAUGAGAGUCUGUAACACCCAAAGCCGGUGGGAUAACCUUUAUAGGAGUCAGCCGUNUAAGGUAGGACAGAUGAUUAGGGUGAAGUCGUAACAAGGUAUC
RNAcentral lists this ribosomal RNA (197 nucleotides) under uncultured bacterium. RNAcentral describes it as "partial 16S ribosomal RNA". It matches the Rfam family "Bacterial small subunit ribosomal RNA", at positions 1306 to 1500 of the family's 1533-position model. The record is from RNAcentral.